RNAcentral lists this ribosomal RNA (403 nucleotides) under uncultured Gemmatimonas sp. RNAcentral's name for it is "bacterial SSU rRNA". It matches the Rfam family "Bacterial small subunit ribosomal RNA", at positions 377 to 780 of the family's 1533-position model. Lineage: Bacteria; Pseudomonadati; Gemmatimonadota; Gemmatimonadia; Gemmatimonadales; Gemmatimonadaceae. The record is from RNAcentral.
GAAAGGCUGACGCAGCGACGCCGCGUGUGGGAUGAAGCUCUUCGGGGUGUAAACCACUGUUGCCCGGGACGAACGGGCGGAUUAAUCCGCCGUGACGGUACCGGGUGAGGAAGCACCGGCUAACUCCGUGCCAGCAGCCGCGGUAAUACGGAGGGUGCGAGCGUUGUCCGGAAUCACUGGGCGUAAAGGGCGCGUAGGUGGUUCGGUAAGCGUGUGGUGAAAGCCCGGGGCUCAACCCCGGGUCGGCCGUGCGAACUGUCGAACUGGAGCACUGUAGAGGCAGGUGGAAUUCCGGGUGUAGCGGUGGAAUGCGUAGAGAUCCGGAAGAACACCGGUGGCGAAGGCGGCCUGCUGGGCAGUUGCUGACGCUGAGGCGCGACAGCGUGGGGAGCAAACAGGAUUA